GCGAAGGUGGCGGAAUUGGUAGACGCGCUAGUUCAGGUGUUAGUGUCCUUACGGACGUGGGGGUUCAAGUCCCCCCCCUCGCACCA
RNAcentral lists this transfer RNA (86 nucleotides) under Salmonella enterica subsp. enterica serovar Typhi. RNAcentral's name for it is "tRNA-???(cagg)". It matches the Rfam family "tRNA". Rfam says of the family: Transfer RNA (tRNA) molecules are approximately 80 nucleotides in length. Their secondary structure includes four short double-helical elements and three loops (D, anti-codon, and T loops). Further hydrogen bonds mediate the characteristic L-shaped molecular structure. tRNAs have two regions of fundamental functional importance: the anti-codon, which is responsible for specific mRNA codon recognition, and the 3' end, to which the tRNAs corresponding amino acid is attached (by aminoacyl-tRNA synthetases). tRNAs cope with the degeneracy of the genetic code in two manners: having more than one tRNA (with a specific anti-codon) for a particular amino acid; and 'wobble' base-pairing, i.e. permitting non-standard base-pairing at the 3rd anti-codon position. The record is from RNAcentral. Lineage: Bacteria; Pseudomonadati; Pseudomonadota; Gammaproteobacteria; Enterobacterales; Enterobacteriaceae.